This 263-nucleotide ribosomal RNA is filed under the name uncultured bacterium. RNAcentral's name for it is "partial 16S ribosomal RNA". It matches the Rfam family "Bacterial small subunit ribosomal RNA", at positions 95 to 354 of the family's 1533-position model. The record is from RNAcentral.
CCGGCGCACGGGUGAGUAACGCGUGUGCAACCUGCCCGGCACAGUGGGAUAAUCCGGAGAAAUCCGGUCUAAUACCGCAUGACGCGGGAAAGGCGCAUGCCUUUUCCGCCAAAGGAGGCGACUCCGGUGCCGGCUGGGCACGCGUGACAUUAGCUAGUUGGCGGGGCAACGGCCCACCAAGGCGACGAUGUCUAGGGGUUCUGAGAGGAAGGUCCCCCACACUGGUACUGAGACACGGACCAGACUCCUACGGGAGGCAGCAG